This 406-nucleotide ribosomal RNA is filed under the name uncultured bacterium. RNAcentral describes it as "partial 16S ribosomal RNA". It matches the Rfam family "Bacterial small subunit ribosomal RNA", at positions 30 to 526 of the family's 1533-position model. The record is from RNAcentral.
AUUGAACGCUGGCGGCAGGCUUAACACAUGCAAGUCGAGCGAGCGGCGGACGGGUGAGUAAUGUCUGGGAAACUGCCUGAUGGAGGGGGAUAACUAGUGGAAACGGUAGCUAAUACCGCAUACCAUCAGAUGUGCCCAGAUGGGAUUAUCUAGUAGGUGGGGUAAUGGCUCACCUAGGCGACGAUCCCUAGCUGGUCUGAGAGGAUGACCAGCCACACUGGGACUGAGACACGGCCCAGACUCCUACGGGAGGCAGCAGUGGGGAAUAUUGCACAAUGGGCGCAAGCCUGAUGCAGCCAUGCCGCGUGUAUGAAGAAGGCCUUAGGGUUGUAAAGCACUUUCAGCGGGGAGGCGUUACUCGCAGAAGAAGCACCGGCUAACUCCGUGCCAGCAGCCGCGGUAAUAC